GGCAAAGUGGCCGAGUGGUUAAGGCGUUGUGUUUAGGAAAUCUGCCUUCUCUUGAGAAAGCAGACGUCCACAAACCGCAAUGGGAAACCGCGCGAGUUCGAAUCUCGUCUUUGUCA
Molecule: non-coding RNA, 116 nt
Organism: Lasiosphaeria ovina
Lineage: Eukaryota; Fungi; Ascomycota; Sordariomycetes; Sordariales; Lasiosphaeriaceae
Source: the annotation of a GenBank genome assembly